UGUCCGUCUGUCCCCGGCCGUCUGUCCCCAUCCGUGUCCGUCUGUCUGUCCCUGUCUGUCCCCAUCCCUGUCCGUUUGUCCCCAUCCGUGUCCGCCUGUCCCUGUCCCCCUCCGUGUCCAUCUGUGUCCGUCUGUCCCCAUCCGUGUCCGUCUGUCCCCGUCCUUGUCCGUCUGUCCCCGGCCGUCUGUCCCCAUCCGUGUCCGUCUGUCCCUGUCUGUCCCCCUCCCUGUCCGUCUGUCCCCAUCCGUGUCCGUCUGUCCCUGUCCUUGUCCGUCUGUCCCUGUCCCCAUCUGUCCCUGUCCCCAUCCCUGUCCGUCUGUCCCCAUCCCGUCUGUCCCCAUCUGUGUCCGUCUGUCCCUGUCCCCGCCCCUGUCCGUCUGUCCCUGUCCGUCUGUCCCCAUCCGUGUCCGUCUCUCCCUACCCGUGUCCGUCCGUCUGUCCCCAUCCGUCUGUCCCCAUCCCUGUCCGUCUGUCUGUCCCUGUCCGUCUGUCCCCAUCCGUGUCCCUCUGUCCCCAUCCGUGUCCGUCUGUCUGUCCUCAUCCGUCCGUCCCCAUCCCUGUCCGUCUGUCUCUCCCCAUGUCCGUCCGUCUGUCCCCAUCCGUGUCCGUUUGUCCCUGUCCCCAUCCCUGUCCGUCUGUCCGUCCCCGUCUCUCUCUGUCCCCGUCCUUGUCCGUCUGUCCCCGUCCUUGUCCGUCUGUCCCCGUCCGUGUCCGUCUGUCCCUGUCCCUGCCCCUGUCCGUCUGUCCCCAUCCAUGUCCGUCUGUCCCCAUCCGUGUCUGUCUGUCCCCAGCCGUCUGUCCCCAUCCGUGUCCGUCUGUCCGUCCCUGUCUGUCCCCCUCCCUGUCCGUCUGUCCCCGUCUGUGUCUGUUUGUCCCCAUCCGUGUCCGUCUGUCCCUGGCCGUCUGUCCCCAUCCGUGUCCGUCUGUCCCCGUCCUUGUCCGUCUGUCCCUGUCCCCAUCCAUGUCCGUCUGUCCGUCCCCAUCUGUCCCUGUCCCCAUCCCUGUCCGUCUGUCCCCAUCCGUGUCCGUCCCCACGUCUCAGCCCCACGUCUCAGCCCCACGUCUCAGCCCCACAUCGCAGCCCUCAGCCCCACAUCUCAGCCCCACAUCUCAGCCCCACAUCUCAGCCCCACAUCGCAGCCC
This 1144-nucleotide long non-coding RNA is filed under the name Numida meleagris (helmeted guineafowl). RNAcentral describes it as "lncRNA (ENSNMEG00000004128.1)". Lineage: Eukaryota; Metazoa; Chordata; Aves; Galliformes; Numididae. The record is from RNAcentral.